RNAcentral lists this ribosomal RNA (388 nucleotides) under uncultured bacterium. RNAcentral describes it as "bacterial SSU rRNA". It matches the Rfam family "Bacterial small subunit ribosomal RNA", at positions 28 to 417 of the family's 1533-position model. The record is from RNAcentral.
GACGAACGCUGGCGGCGUGCUUAACACAUGCAAGUCGAGCGGUAAGGCCCCUUCGGGGGUACACGAGCGGCGAACGGGUGAGUAACACGUGGGUGACCUGCCCUCAGCUCUGGGAUAAGCCUGGGAAACCGGGUCUAAUACUGGAUAUGACUCCAUGACGCAUGUUGUGGGGUGGAAAGUCUUGUGCGGCUGAGGAUGGGCCCGCGGCCUAUCAGCCUGUUGGUGGGGUGAUGGCCUACCAAGGCGACGACGGGUAGCCGGCCUGAGAGGGCGACCGGCCACACUGGGACUGAGACACGGCCCAGACUCCUACGGGAGGCAGCAGUGGGGAAUCUUGCGCAAUGGGCGAAAGCCUGACGCAGCGACGCCGCGUGAGGGAUGACGGCCU